This 161-nucleotide unclassified non-coding RNA is filed under the name uncultured fungus. RNAcentral describes it as "sequence contains ITS1". The record is from RNAcentral. Lineage: Eukaryota; Fungi.
UUAAUUUCUCAAUGUUUGAUUUCAGACACAAAUCGCCGACCGCAGCAUAGAAUAAACGCCAAGGCGUCAAAGGCACAAUUCGCUUCCGUGGGUUUGCAAGGUUGAAGGCCCCCCAAGGGGGCCGUUCGUAAAUGAUCCCUCCGCAGGUUCACCUACGGAAA